GUCCGCGUAGCACAGUGGUAGUGCGCUUGACUACGAUUUCGUAAUCGAGACGAUCAAGAGGUCGUGGUUUCGAUCACCACCGUGGAUU
This is a non-coding RNA of Cryptococcus sp. DSM 104548, 88 nucleotides long. The record is from the annotation of a GenBank genome assembly.